RNAcentral lists this ribosomal RNA (404 nucleotides) under uncultured bacterium. RNAcentral describes it as "bacterial SSU rRNA". It matches the Rfam family "Bacterial small subunit ribosomal RNA", at positions 958 to 1364 of the family's 1533-position model. The record is from RNAcentral.
AACGCGAAGAACCUGUACCACCCCUUGACAUUCCUGCGAACCUUUCCUAGAGAUGGAUUGGUGCCUUCGGGAGCGCACAGACAGGUGCUGCAUGGCUGUCGUCAGCUCGUGUUGUGAAAUGUUGGGUUAAGUCCCGUAACGAGCGCAACCCUUGUCCCUAUUUGCCAGCGAUUCGGUCGGGAACUCUAGGGAGACUGCCGGUGACAAACCGGAGGAAGGUGGGGACGACGUCAAGUCAUCAUGGCCCUUACGGGUAGGGCUACACACGUGCUACAAUGGCCGGUACAAAGGGUUGCGAAGCCGCGAGGUGGAGCUAAUCCCGAAAAGCCGUUCGUAGUNGGAGUCUGCAACUCGACUCCGUGAAGUCGGAAUCGCUAGUAAUCGCGGAUCAGCAUGCCGCGGUG